UGCUAAUCUGUGAAGGUGAGCGGCUCGGUUCUGUUUGGGUCGGCUCGGUUCUGUUUGGGUCGGCUCGGUUCUGUUUGGGUCGGCUCGGCUCUGUUUGGGUCGGCUCGGCUCUGUUUGGGUCGGUUCUGUCACCACAGGGAAACCCGCUGCUGCACAAAGACAAAGAGGAGUACAUCCCUGAGCCCGGCAUCGUCGCUUACGUAUCGCGUCCUCCUCCUGCUGCUGCCAAGAGCAAGUAACCCAGACCGAGACAGUCGGCAUGAAGCCUCAGAGCUGGCUCAGGAGGAAAUGGCUGUGGGCGGCCGGCGGCGCGUUCGUCACCAUCCACCUGGCCACGUGGCUGAUGCAGACGGCCAUGAAGAGCGCCGUGCGCUCCGAGUCUGCGCUCAAACAGAAGACGGCAGAGGACAGACUGGACUGAAGUUUAUUCACUGAUCGCUGAACAGAUGGAAACAAUGGGAUCACAUGUUUGAACGUUUAACCCUGAUUAAGGUGUGAUUGUGUAAAUCGAUUAGUAAAAUAUAAUAAACAGAUGUUGACUGACAGUGCUGUGAUUUCUAAAAACAGAUUCAGUGAUGAUCUGAGUCUGAACGUGAAUAUUAAACAUCACUCGAACUUUUUAACAUUCAGAGCAAAUGAACCUGACGCCUCUCUGUCUGCUCCUAUUGGCUGAAACGAUGAUGAUGUAAUGAUUGUGUGAACACAAAGUGGUUCAUUCAAACUGGCUUUAACCUUGUGGAAGGUGCCAACACUCAGCUGAAUACUCAGAAAUCCUCUCGAGAAAUUCGGCAUAACUCUGUUUGCUACAGAUCGGGUUACAGGGAAGGAGGCCGGCUCUGCUGAAGACCCAGCUCGAGACUGUGGACCAACUUUAAGACAAAACUCGCCCAGUUCAGAGUCCGCAUCACAUGACGGACCUGAGAGUCAGACAGAACCUCCUCAGACGAGACACGAACAUGAACUAAUGUGUUCACUCCUUAAUUUAAAUGUUGUUUUUAUGUGUAUUUUAUUAAAGACAGUUUCCAGAUAAA
Long non-coding RNA from Larimichthys crocea (large yellow croaker), 1031 nucleotides. RefSeq lists it as uncharacterized. The record is from RefSeq and is a predicted model, not a curated record. The transcript is spliced from 3 exons. Lineage: Eukaryota; Metazoa; Chordata; Actinopteri; Sciaenidae.